RNAcentral lists this ribosomal RNA (429 nucleotides) under Bacteroidota bacterium. Its description in RNAcentral is "Bacteroidetes bacterium partial 16S ribosomal RNA". It matches the Rfam family "Bacterial small subunit ribosomal RNA", at positions 355 to 776 of the family's 1533-position model. Lineage: Bacteria; Pseudomonadati; Bacteroidota. The record is from RNAcentral.
UAAGGAAUCUUCGGCAAUGGACGCAAGUCUGAAGGAGCAACGCCGCGUGAGUGAAGAAGGAUUUCGGGUCGUAAAACUCUGUUGUUAGAGAAGAACAGAGCAUAGCGAAACUGUUAUUCGCGUGACGGUAUCUAACCAGAAAGGCACGGCUAACUCCGUGACAGCAGGCGCGGUAAUACGUAGGUGGCAAGCGUUGUCCGGAUUUAUUGGGUGUAAAGGGAGCGCAGGCGGUGAAUUAAGUCUGACGUGAAAGACCCCGGCUCAACCGUAGAGGGUCGAUGGAUACUUGUGUACUUGAGUGUAGAAAAGGCGAGUGGAAUUCGUUGUGUAGCGGUGAAAUGCGUAGAUAUUAGGCGGAACACCAGUGGCGAAAGCGGCUCUCUGGUCUGUAACUGACGCUGAUGCUCGAAAGCGUGGGGAGCGAACAGG